GCAGGGGCAAGAUGUUGGCGGGUAGACCGACAGCAAGCAGACCACCGGAUAUGCAACAACGACUAGUGGAGAUGGCUCGGCGGAAGGCUACUGUGGGCAUCACUCAAAGAGGGGGUCCUGAUGCGAUGUGUAGGGCAGCAAUGGCGCGACAGCUUCAUGGGCAGCUUGCGGAGCGGUUGCUGUGGUGCAAGUGCGGUGAGUGCAAGAGGUCGACGAGGAGGCACAGUGGCCGGCAGAGGCAACAAUAGACGCGGCUACAGGCGAGCAAGUGAAGGCGUUGAAGAUGGAGGACCGCUCUUAAGUCCUGGCAUCGACAAUGGAGCUCGAGUGGACCAGCAAGCAGUGAUGGAUUCAUAGAGAAAAACCAAGUAGAUCACGGCUGGCAGCGAGAUGGUGGCAACUUCACAGAUUGCUAAUACCGCAGCGGUGCUGAUGCAAUGACCAGCGCAAUGGUGCAACGCGGAGGCUUCAUGGGCGUUGCGGACGGUGACCAGCGGGGCGUGGACAGCAACGACGAAGGCAUGUUGAGGCAAGGGCACGGCAAAAUGACGGCGGCUACCGGCUCACGGAUAGCAAGGAGCACUGGCGGAAGCUGCGAAGAAGAAGAGCAAUAGUUCUUAUUUUCCCUCUGCUUUUUCGUCACUUCCCUCUCUGUCUAUUCUCUCUCACGCUGGCUUUUUCCCCUUUUCCCCCCUAUGCACGUCGCUUCUCUCUUACUACACGUUGCUAUCUUCUCUGCUGUCAACAGAAGAAAGUGCAGCAGAUGCCUCUUUCUUUUUCCUUUCUUUAGCAAAAGAAAAACCUUCCUUACUCCUACAAAACCCUUUAAAAUGAAGGGAAACCUUUCUCUUUUUGAGUUGAAUUUUUACCAAGUGAUCGAGAGAAAAAGCCCCCGAACCCUACGCAUUCAACAUAUUUGUAGGCCACGAAUUAGGGUUUUAAUUUUCCCAAAUCGAUAUCCACAAAGAUUCUUUUUCCAAACGCAAUAUUUGUUUUGAUGAACGCAAUAUUUGCUUUUCCACGUGCCCUAUUCAAAAAAAUUCAUCAUAUCCCGAAAAAUUUCAAAUUUCUAUUUUUCUCGAGAUAAUCUUUGAUUAUUAAAAAAAAGGGCUUGUGCCAAUUUGCUCGUUUCGUGGGCUUAGUCCGGCCUGUCAAUUUAAAGCUCAGAACCACUAAUUCGAACGCAUCAGCCACUGGUCCAAUAAAUAAAUGUAAAAAAAAUGCAAAUGCACCUAAAUCUAUAUGCUAUGCAAUUAAUUAUUUUUUCAAGGAUAAAAUUAAACCCUAAUUUUUUAAUGCAAUAAAUGACUAAUCAGGUCGGCAAAAUUUAGGUGUCAACAAUCAUCACAACAAAAAGAAGGUUCUCGAUUCUAAAGAAAAAUAUAAUAAAAGAAAAAAAAAUUGCAUCCCCUUUCUUCGCAGUCAUAUCACAACUUCCACAUGACUAAUCCUGUUUUUAGAUUUUGAGAGAGAUUAUUCUUAUUUAGAUUAUAAUUGUUAGAAGAAAAUUUAGAACAAAUCAAUGCACCAUAUAAAUAUAAAUACUUCUUCCUUUCUAGUAAAUUGUAAAAAAAUUACACAUAACAUUGACAACAUUAGCCUUACCUCAAAAGUUUUUGAAAGUGAUCAUUCCAAGAGAUUUGGCCAAUGCAGAUGACAAUGGCAUCUGCAAAACGAUCAAAGUGGAUGAGCUAGGGCACGGGAAAAAGAUGUUGGGAAUAAAGCAUACAACAGAAGCUGAAAAUGCAGAGGAAUAUGAUUGUGGAAUGCCAUUGAUUUUCGUGAUUCUUUUGUAUUUGAAUAAAGAAGGAUGAACUAUAACUAAUACAACGUUCUCACAAAAUAGAUUGUCUUACAAAAUAAUUUACCGUGCUACAACAUUCUUUUGCAAAUGAUUAAAUCAUUUUAGUGUGCAAGGGAAAGCUGAUUUCGGUGGCAAUAGAGUAUCAAACUUCCAGGGGCACAACAAAUGAACCUAUUGCUAUAACAAAAUGUGCAAAGAAUCAUAAAUUACAUUAGGACUGCAAUCCCAACUCAGUUCUUAAGCUAUUGCAAAUGAUACUGCAUGCUUGAUGUCAAAAGUUAAG
This 2087-nucleotide long non-coding RNA is filed under the name Eucalyptus grandis. RNAcentral's name for it is "long non-coding RNA (EGRA_LNC000584)". The record is from RNAcentral. Lineage: Eukaryota; Viridiplantae; Streptophyta; Magnoliopsida; Myrtales; Myrtaceae.